This 4481-nucleotide long non-coding RNA is filed under the name Phoenix dactylifera (date palm). RNAcentral describes it as "long non-coding RNA (PDAC_LNC004843)". The record is from RNAcentral. Lineage: Eukaryota; Viridiplantae; Streptophyta; Magnoliopsida; Arecales; Arecaceae.
AAUGCAUAUGACAGCAUCCGGAUAGUUGAUUCUUCAUAUAGAUCAAAGUAUUUUAUAAGCACGCUCGCAGAUCUCAAUCAAGUCCAUGAUUUGUCAUCUUACAUGAAGUCUCAAAUAGCUUGUUAUGAAGCAUCUCGACAAUUGUUGCAAGAAAAGCGAGAUAGUAUUGAUCAUUCUCAGGAGACUAGCGUGAACCUUUGUGAUGGGCAUAAAGUAACCAUUCUUGAUGUGCCUAGCAAGCCUGCUGUACCUCACAUUGAAGGCCAAAACAUUGAAGGUAGUAGCACGGUUGGUGAAAUCAUUCAGGGUGCAGCUGUUCAGGUGCAAAGGAAAAACACUGAGGACAGCAAAUGGCCUGCCACCUGUGUUUCACAUGCAUCUAGACCUAUAUUACCAUGGAUUAAUGGAGAUGGCAGUACAAACUCCAUCGUAUACAAGGGUCUUACACGUCGAGUUCUUGGCACUGUCAUGCAAAAUCCUGGUAUCAUGGNNNNNNNNNNNNNUCUGACCAACAAAAUUGUCUGGACUCUUGGUUAAAACAAAUGAGGAGAUCGUUAUGGACAACUAGAAGAGUUAUUUUUUUUGUUUUUUCUAGAAAAUUUAAUGGUUUCACUUUCAUAUUUUCUGAAUACCUUGCGUUUUUGUAUGUCUACCAAGGCACUAGAAGGUUCUUCAGUUUAUCUCAUACUUUAACACCAAUGGAUAGUCAAUUUAUCCUUACUACGAAAACAGUCAGGAUUAUUAGGUGUUUCAGUCAAGUUCCUUGUGGGCAACAUAAUCAUAUAUAAAUUCGUGUAGGAUUUCUAAGGUGCCCUAAGUUGUUUUUGGUUCCAUGUAAUAUCCUACGGCUCAAGGUCAACCGAACAGGUACCGAGAUCCGUACUGGUUGGCUGGCGGAUCGAUAUGGUACCAGUUCGGAAUUGGCACACCUAUUUUUUUUGAAUUUUUGAGUUUUAAUUAAUUGGUAAUCAAUCUCUUUCAAUUUUUUCAAUGAUUUUAAGUCUAAUUUGAUAUAUUUUUUGAUAUUUUUUGAUGUUUUUAUGAUCUUGGUUUAACCUAAAUGAUGCAUCUUAUUGUUGUAAAGUGAUAUAAAAAUAUACAAUGAUUAAUGAGAUGUUGUAUGCUGCAAGAAGCAACAUGAAAUAUCCUAAAAUCAACUAGUGAGGAGAAAAAUAUAAAAUAAGUUUUGGAAAUGCUAACCAAAACUUCAAUGGUAAAGGAAGUCUGCCAGUCGGCGAAAACAUUAAGAGAUAAUGGCGCUUCCAACGUUUAGAUGUCCGUUUUGAAGCUGCGCCCUGUAGUUUUGAAGCUGGCCAGACCAGUACCAAUUCCUGUAGUGGUGGUCAAUAUCUAGGGCUCCCCAUCUUUCUUUCGUUCUACCAGAUAUCAUGAUUCUCCCUAUUGUGCAGGUGCCUCUAUUGGUUUCUUCAAUUCCUCCUAUUCACGUUGCUGCCAUGGCCAACACAGUAAACGACUGCCUUUUACCCUUUUGACUCCGAAAAAUGGAUUCUGGUUCAACUGCUUGAACAACAGAAUGAAUUCUUGCUUGCGUAAUACAAUCAAUUAUAUAUAUAUAUAAAGUAUAAUAUACAUAUUAAUAUUUAAAAUCUCGUCGAGUGGUGAUGCUUCUUGUAGAUUUUCGGAUUAUUAACAUAAUUAGGAGGCACAUCGGCUAUCCUUCUAACCAAGCGACGCUGUAGUUUUGUAUGUUUUUCCAUAAAGAAUGCAUUCUAGGUUAUAAGCACUUUCGAAUCUCUUGCUGAAGCUCUAGCUUUGAGAGGUAUCCGCUGGCUAAUAAAAUGACUGUGAAGCGGCCUAUCCGAAUAAGCCGGCCGUAAAAUCUGAUCCGUAAGAUGCUCCGGUUUGCGUAGAGUAGUAGCUAUCGGAAGACGAUGUCUUAGACGCACCAUAUUCAUAUCUAUAUUCAUAUGGGUCAUAGGCUACUUGUGGCUGCAAAUAAUAGGAUUCAGUAUACGACUCGAAACCUGAUAUGUUUAUGGAUCCUACUCCACGUGCGAGGUUAUCUGCAGCUGCAUUGUGUCCUCUUGAAUGACCUUAAGAAGCUUGUCUUCAAUAUGCAAUCGCCUCGCGGGCUUUAUCAGAUCAUGCACCGUGGUCCCUAUCCUAUGUAGUAUGCAUAAAUUGGGACUUAUCGGUAAAUCGAGGACCACUCUUUGACUGUCUUAUAAAUGAUCUUAUGUCUAAUCCAUUCCUAGCCAACAGAUCCAUGACCACUAGAACUGCUGCUCCUGGUCUUUGAAUUUGAGUGAACUGGCUCGUCCGCACUUUUUUUGGGGGCCGCAGGUGUCUUUUGUUUUCUUUUUUUGGUCUGCUGAGCAGCUGCUUGCUUAUCCUUCGCGCCCCUCUUUGCCUAAGUGGCAAGCCCUAUACUUGGUCCUUGCAUAUUUUAAUAGCUCAGUUUUCAGUUUAGAACAUUUUUGACUAGUUAGAUGUUAGUUGAGUUACAUGGAUGACUACCAUUCUCUUCUAAUAGGCUUUUCGGUUCUACUGAAAGAGAAGAGGUGGGGGGAUGGCUUCUGGUAACAUAAACCAAGCUUUAUGUAUCUUUAUUCUAUUUUUCACUCGAUAAGGAAUUAUUGCAUCAAUUUGCAUCAAAAAAUUGGACAUAUUUAGAGGAUCAGAAUGUUAGAGUUGGUAACAUUAAUAGCAUUCAUGAAUGUUAUUAUUAUUUAAAUCAGGUUUGCGGUACCGGUCGUUAUCGGUGCAUAUCGACCUUAUCGUACCGAACUGGACCGGUACAUGGUAUAAAGGACGUACCAAUACUUGGUAUGCACCGCCCCUCAUACUAGGCGACACUAUAAUAGGAUGGUACCGGUUUGGAAUCCGGUACCGAGAUAGUGAACCUUGAUUCAAAUCUCUUCUAUUGGUUGACAAUUUUCCAAUACCAAAGAUAAUAGCCUGACUUUUGCGCUGGUGAUUUCUUUUGGAUAGUAAUAUUUCUAUUUCAUUUGCUGCCAUAUGUCCGUAAUGUUCAGUUUAUCGAAUCAAAAUUUUGAAUUAGGUUAUGCCCUAUUUCCAUGUCAUAUUACCAGCAGUUUUCUCUUCAUGAAGGCUAGGAAAUUAGAAUUGUCAUAAGACCAAGCUAGCUACUUGUUUUGGAUGAAGAAUGCAUUUUAAGUUGCUGAUAUUUGAAAUAAGAAAUCUAAGAUGAAAGCACAUACUAAGGGAAGCAGUAAUUGCUGCACAAUUGUCUGCCUAUCUCUUCAAGAGAUCUGUGUUAUACAUUUCUUUGGCUGUAUGUGCAAAUGUAGUUCACUUGUGCAAAUUAUAACAGCUGUCUGCUGGCAAUAACUGCUGAAGUGUUGCAGAUCUGCGUGGUGAAUUUUAAAUUAUGAAAUUCUAUAAGCUACUUGGAGAUUCUAGCUGAUUACUGGUUAGUACUCAUUUAUAGUUCUUCAUAGCUAUCUGCCAGAGGCAGAAGUGUCGCAUCAUCAUGCUUAAUCAGUGAAGUGAUAAAAUUAGCAUUUAUUUAUAGUUAUCAGGAAAGAUAUUUUAGUUUUUUGCAGAAAAGAACUUGCUUUUUGAUUUUGCCCAUCGUAUGGGAUGGGAUGACAUGUGGUGCAAGUAGACAUCCGUAGUUAUGUGAAAAAUUAAAGUGAACUUCCCAUUUAUCAGUUGAACUGUAAAGAAACAUACCUUUGUGAAGAAAUGUUCAGUCUAAUAUUGCGAGUAUUGUUUUCACAAACAGAGAUCUCUGCAUUCAUUUUGUUGUUUGCUGUACUUUAAGUUCAGUGCCUAUGGGAAAGCAAGACAAUCCUAAGCGCUUUCAUAGGCCUGCUAGGAACAAUAUGUCAAAUGCUGCAAGUCAUGUUAGAAUAUAGAUCAACCCUAGAAUGAUGGAUGGUUUGAUAGUUUAGGGCAGAGAGGUUAGAACAUAUCAAAUUGCUUUUGCUUUUGCUUGCUCUUAUGUAAGUUGUACUGUAGAUAAAUAUUUGGGAUAAAUUUCAAUCUUUUGUUAAAACAUAAUCUACACAGGUCAAUGCAUAUGACAGCAUCCGGAUAGUUGAUUCUUCAUAUAGAUCAAAGUAUUUUAUAAGCACGCUCGCAGAUCUCAAUCAAGUCCAUGAUUUGUCAUCUUACAUGAAGUCUCAAAUAGCUUGUUAUGAAGCAUCUCGACAAUUGUUGCAAGAAAAGCGAGAUAGUAUUGAUCAUUCUCAGGAGACUAGCGUGAACCUUUGUGAUGGGCAUAAAGUAACCAUUCUUGAUGUGCCUAGCAAGCCUGCUGUACCUCACAUUGAAGGCCAAAACAUUGAAGGUAGUAGCACGGUUGGUGAAAUCAUUCAGGGUGCAGCUGUUCAGGUGCAAAGGAAAAACACUGAGGACAGCAAAUGGCCUGCCACCUGUGUUUCACAUGCAUCUAGACCUAUAUUACCAUGGAUUAAUGGAGAUGGCAGUACAAACUCCAUCGUAUACAAGGGUCUUACACGUCGAGUUCUUGGCACUGUCAUGCAAAAUCCUGG